CUUGCAACUAUAAGAGGUCCAGCCUGCCCAGUGACCCAGUUCAACGGCCGCGGUAUCCUAACCGUGCGAAGGUAGCGUAAUCACUUGUUUUCUAAAUAAAAACUAGUAUGAAAGGCAUCACGAGAAUUAAACUGUCUCCCUUUUCUAAUCAGUAAACCUAAUCUCCCCGUGAAGAAGCGGGGAUCAUCUAAUAAGACGAGAAGACCCUAUGGAGCUUUAAACAUACUAAUCAUAUGACCUACUUUAUCACACCCAGGUGCACAUACUCACACAUAAUGAUUAUAUGUUUUCGGUUGGGGUGACCGCGGAGAAUAAACCAUCCUCCGCGAUGAUAAGGGCCCCCCCACAAACAACAAGCCACAGCUUUAUGUAUCAACAAAUUGACACCAUUGACCCAAUAUAUUGAUUAACGAAC
This 415-nucleotide ribosomal RNA is filed under the name Pristimantis bipunctatus. RNAcentral's name for it is "partial large subunit ribosomal RNA". It matches the Rfam family "Bacterial large subunit ribosomal RNA", at positions 1836 to 2457 of the family's 2925-position model. Lineage: Eukaryota; Metazoa; Chordata; Amphibia; Anura; Strabomantidae. The record is from RNAcentral.